GGGACCUCCAACAUAUGCCUCCCUAACUGAGGACCCCCUAACAGAGCAGGUUUUCCCAUUGAUGUGUUCCAGACAGGUCUCAAGGAGAAGCAUAUCUUGUUUACUGGUUUGAUUUAGUGGUCUACAAAGCCUCCUGCCACUGCCACCUCCUGAGCUCUCUGAGUCAGCUCAGUGAUCGAAGAGGCACUCAAAGUCCUGGGGCUCACUCUAAGCCCUCAGUAACUAGAAAACUAGAUAAUAACAUUUUUAAUGUUUAGUGCCAUAUCUCACCUCUUUUACACUAUCUGCUGUUCCUGAACAGGAUGAGAUGGCUCCAGGAAACAACACCACAAAGUUAUCAGCGUGAAGUGGAUGAUGAUGUGGUGUCAUUCCCAGAAAGUCUUCUGCUGUUGCUAUCUCGUGAUGCAUCUUGACAGUGUGAUGGCAUCCCGCAGCUCUCUGUGCAUCUUCAGAUCUGGACAGGCCUUGACAAGUCUGAUCCUUGGAAUGGAUUCACUACAGAUGCCUGGGAGAUGAGAGAAGUGCUAACUGGCAUGAGCCUGGCAAGACAUUCCUAUACAGAGCGUUGGACAGGCCAUCCUCUUCUGUGAAUGCAGAUCCUGAAAGAUGGUGUGUCCUUGCAGUCAGUCACAGAGUAGAGAUGCUCUGUAAGCCUGUGCUCUGUGAAUUCACUGGCGUCAUUUGGACUACGUUGAUGUGCACCAGUGGAGGACCUGACUCACCCUCUGGUGGCUGCUGUGUGAGCGAUCCGACAACCCUUCCUCUCUGUGCCCCAGGAGGGAGUUUUGCAGCAGAUGUGGGGGACGUCGCGUUGGCGUUGGCACUGAGGUCAUUCUGCAUGCUCGAUGUACUCCCAUUGCAAAAGGUACCAAGACAUAUUCAAAAUCAGUUUCUUGUUGAAAGAUGGAAGUAGAGGACAAAGCAGGAACAAAAACCUUCAUGGAGUGUAUCUUUUCUGGAUUCGUAUGGAAAUGUGGCUUUGACCACUGCUUGCAUCAGGGUCAGGUUUUCAUUUCAGUACUGCAGAAGAUGACACUCGUGGAUGGCUUUUUGCAACUGUUUUUUUAAUGUGAAUAUAGGAUUAACACAGGAUGUUUUCUUUAAGUUAUGUGGUCUAAUCAAAAUACUGUUAAAAGUAAAAACUGAAGCUGAGUGUGAGGAAAACUGUAUGAAAUGAAAUUCAUGAAGAGAAUAUUCUUUUUCAUUUUUAAUUGAAGUCAUAUAAAAGUUUUUUCCCUUUUUUGCACCUGUGAAUCUACAUUGAUUUUAGAUAGCUUCUGAGAAACAACUUUCCCAAGAGUGUAAUGAUCUUCUGAUUGUUGCAUAUGGCACUAGGACCUUAAUAAAGGUUCUGAAGUCUAUGAGACUCCA
This 1371-nucleotide long non-coding RNA is filed under the name Phasianus colchicus (ring-necked pheasant). RNAcentral describes it as "lncRNA (ENSPCLG00000009091.1)". Lineage: Eukaryota; Metazoa; Chordata; Aves; Galliformes; Phasianidae. The record is from RNAcentral.